Molecule: long non-coding RNA, 1271 nt
Filed under: Mytilus galloprovincialis (Mediterranean mussel)
Lineage: Eukaryota; Metazoa; Mollusca; Bivalvia; Mytilida; Mytilidae
Source: RNAcentral
UUGGAAUGAUUUUUGUCGAGCCUGCAACUUUUGUUGCAGAAAGCUCGACAUAGGGAUAGUGAUCCGGCGGCGGCGGCGGCGGCGGUGUUAGCUAACUUCUUAAAAGCUUUAUAUUUUAGAAGGUGGAAGACCUGGAUGCUUCAUACUUUGUAUAUAGAUGCCUCAUGUUACGAAGUUUCCGUCAGUCACAUGUCCAAUGUCCUUGACCUCAUUUUCAUGGUUCAGUGACCACUUGAAAAAAAAGUUCAAAUUUUUUGUAAUGUUGAAUUCUCUCUUAUUAUAAGUAAUAGGAUAACUAUAUUUGAUAUGUGCGUACCUUGCAAGGUCCUCAUGUCCGUCAGACAGUUUUCAGUUGACCUCGACCUCAUUUCAUGGAUCAGUGAACAAGGUUAAGUUUUGGUGGUCAAGUCCAUAUCUCAGAUACUAUAAGCAAUAGGGCUAGUAUAUUCAGUGUAUGGAAGGACUGUAAGGUGUACAUCUCCAACUGGCAGGUGUCAUCUGACCUUGACCUCAUUUUCAUGGUUCAGUGGUUAUAGUUAAAUUUUUGCGUUUUGGUCUGUUUUUCUCAUACUAUAUGCAAUAGGUCUACUAUAUUUGUUGUAUGGAACGAUUGUAAGGUGUACAUGUCUAUCGGGCAGAUGUCAUGUGACCUUGACCUCAUUUUCAUGGUUCAGUGGUCAAAGUUAAAUUUUUGUGUUUUGGUCUGUUUUUCUCAUACUAUAUGCAAUAGGUCUACUAUAUUUGUUGUAUUGAACGAUUGUAAGGUGUACAUGUCUAACGGGCAGAUGUCAUGUGACCUUGACCUCAUUUUCAUGGUUCAGUGGUCAAAGUUAAGUUUUUGAGUUUUGGUCUUUUUAUCUAAUACUAUGUGCCAUAGGUCAACUGUAUUUGGUGUAUGGAAAUAUUUUAUGAUCUUUAUGUUAGUCGCACAGGUUUUAUUUGACCGUGACCUCAUUUUCACGGUUCAUUGCACAGUGUUAAGGUUUUGUGUUUUGCCUUUUGGUCUAUUUUUCUUAAACUAUAAGUAAUCGGUCAACUAUAUAUGUUGUAUAGAAAGCAUUGUUAGCUGUACAUGUCUGCCUGGCAUGGUUCAUCUGACCUUGACCUCAUUUUCAAGGUUCAUUGGUCUUUGUUUAGUUAUCUUGGUUAAUGUUAAGUUUAUGUGACAAUUGUUAUAAAGCUUAGCUUUAUACUUAGGACUAUCAACAUAAUAUCAAUGAUUAGUAUAGAAGGCGAGACAUUUCAGCGUGUGCACUCUUGUUUCGGAUUUG